AUUGAACGCUGGCGGCAGGCUUAACACAUGCAAGUCGAGCGGGGGAAGGUAGCUUGCUACCGGACCUAGCGGCGGACGGGUGAGUAAUGCUUAGGAAUCUGCCUAUUAGUGGGGGACAACAUCUCGAAAGGGAUGCUAAUACCGCAUACGUCCUACGGGAGAAAGCAGGGGAUCUUCGGACCUUGCGCUAAUAGAUGAGCCUAAGUGGGAUUAGCUAGUUGGCGGGGUAAAGGCCUACCAAGGCGACGAUCUGUAGCGGGUCUGAGAGGAUGAUCCGCCACACUGGGGCUGAGACACGGGCCAGACUCCUACGGGAGGGAGCAGUGGGGAAUAUUGGACAAUGGGGGGAACCCUGGUCCAGCCAUGCCGCGUGUGUGAAGAAGGCCUUAUGGUUGUAAAGCACUUUAAGCGAGGAGGAGGCUACUUUAGUUAAUACCUAGAGAUAGUGGACGUUACUCGCAGAAUAAGCACCGGCUAACUCUGUGCCAGCCGCCGCCGUAA
This 501-nucleotide ribosomal RNA is filed under the name uncultured bacterium. Its description in RNAcentral is "partial 16S ribosomal RNA". It matches the Rfam family "Bacterial small subunit ribosomal RNA", at positions 30 to 523 of the family's 1533-position model. The record is from RNAcentral.